ACAGUUGGCUUAGAAACAGCCAUCGAUUAAUGAAAACGUAAUAGUUCAAAUAAUUAGCUCAAAAAUUCUUAAAAUUUAAGAUUUUAAGUUCGUCGAAGCAGCGAGUUUUGGUAGUGGAGCAUUUUGUAAAAAAAAAUAGCUGUGAAGCAAAAUCAAAAAAGCUACUGUGAAAAUUAGUAACAUUUAAAAUUGUUAAUAAUUCGUUUUUAAUCUAAGCUUUUUUAUUUCUGUUUUGAGUUUAUUCGAACCUUAAGUUUAAAAUGAAAGUUUUUGGCGAUAGGUAUAAAU
RNAcentral lists this ribosomal RNA (288 nucleotides) under Phaeocystis antarctica. RNAcentral's name for it is "partial Bacterial large subunit ribosomal RNA". The record is from RNAcentral. Lineage: Eukaryota; Haptophyta; Phaeocystales; Phaeocystaceae.